Molecule: long non-coding RNA, 936 nt
Organism: Homo sapiens (human)
Lineage: Eukaryota; Metazoa; Chordata; Mammalia; Primates; Hominidae
Product: long intergenic non-protein coding RNA 2367
Source: Ensembl
GACCAGCUAAAGUGCCCAAGGAAAUGGAACAGCAGGGAGAGGGGACAUCACACACACCACCAAAACCUCUUCUUCAUCAUGGCCUAUGAACAGCCAAAGGGUAAAAUGAUCAGAAAACUGGACAGUUUUUGACAGUCUACUAUUUUCAGAGAAGAGAAUGUCCCAGCUAGAAAUGCAAGUGGACGAGUGCCAACCCGAUGAGGCCAAUGAUUUGCGAGUGGAGACCUCUGAGGAACUUGCUCUUCAUGGGACCCAUCCUGACCCUCCAAGAAAGCAGAAAAGGAGGUUCCUGAUGCAAAACCUAAAGAGCUUUCAUCUGAGGAAGCCUCUGCCUUUUGGGUCAACACUGAGGGGAGUAAAUGAAUGGCACCUGCUCCUUCUCUGUCUGAAGCUUGGACUUCUCCUGAGAGGACUUCCUGCUCCAAGAUAGGAGGGAGUCUCACUCAGAAGAGGAAGGAGCUCCUGUCUGCUGAGGACACGGUUCCAUCCAAUGAGCCAUUCCAAGCUAAAUCCCAGGAAGUACUAAAGAAGCAAUGCACAGACACAGUAUCAUACAAUUUGAGACACAGUAUUAUAAAAUUGAUGUGAACUUCUAGGCACAGUGUGCUCACAGUCUGUCUGGAAAUAACUUUGUAGCAAGCAUAGUUCCAGUCUAGCUGCCUGGCAGCCUGGCAGGAUAUUAUUAUUACUGAUACUAAUUUACUUUUUAAUGUAAGUCUACCCAGAAUAUAUUAAAGAAGUUUCAAGAAAUCAGGAUCAUGGAUUAUAACCUGACGUAGUGCUAAGGAACCAUCAGUUCCAUGUAAGCAUUUGGUUAGCAAGUCUUUUUCAAAGGCCAUGCUUGAGAAACAGUUUUGCUCUCCCAAACAAUGUGUUGUAGUUUUUUUUAGCAUACUACUGUGCAGAUAAAUAAAUGAGAUAUUAAUGCCAUUGCAA